Tupaia belangeri chinensis (Chinese tree shrew) is the source of this 691-nucleotide non-coding RNA. The record is from the annotation of a RefSeq genome assembly. NCBI's taxonomy places the organism in Eukaryota, Metazoa, Chordata, Mammalia, Scandentia, Tupaiidae.
GCUGACAGCUGCUGAUCUAUCUGGGUAGGGCAACCAGGAGAACACCAGCCCCUGCAGAGUCACCCCCCACCCAAGUGAAGCCAUGCUGCGGACCUGUGCCCUUGUCUACCUUGUCUUCUGUUCAGGGGUUUCAUUGGAUAUAACUCUGGAACCAGACGCCGAAACUCUGACUGUUUCAGUUGGAGAGCCUGCUACCUUCCGUUGCAGCGUAACAGGAGGGGACCUGAAGAACUAUCAAAUGAGCUGGUAUAAGAAGAAUGAAAAUAAUUCCCUGGUUUUAGUAUACAAAUUAAGAAACAAUUCUAAUGAUGAUUUAGAGAAUAAUUUCAAAGGAAAAACUGAUACUUUAAGAAGUCAAUUUAUACUUGACAUUCAAAAAGCAACAGCCAAAGAUGUUGGAACUUACUACUGUGGGUCAGAUAUGCACAGUGCUACAGCCCUGUUUCUGAUCACUACAGAAACUCACAGUCAAGCAGAUCCAGUUAGAGACUACACAGUGCUAAAAUGCCUGAGAUAAGACCACUUGAUAACCUCAACAGUAAUAGCUGAUAAGAGAAGCCAGGGACCAACUGGGGCAAGGGCAUUAUCUUUGCAGUUGACUUGAAGGGCCUUCUUUUUGAAUGGUUCAGCAAUUUGUUUUAAAAAAUGCUUUUUCGGGACCAGCAGUUGACGUAAUGGCUAUGUUGCUGGA